This is a long non-coding RNA of Heterocephalus glaber (naked mole-rat), 783 nucleotides long. Lineage: Eukaryota; Metazoa; Chordata; Mammalia; Rodentia; Bathyergidae. The record is from Ensembl.
GAGGGGGCCGCCGUUGCCAUGGCAGCGCAGCCACCGCGUCGGUCGCCGGCGGAGCCUGCGGGGAAGCUCGGACCCCGAGUGGGCGACUGGGCGGCGUCUCUGGCUCGUUCCCUUAGGCUGCGGCUGGAUCUCGUGCUCGCCAGUAGCCACGGGGAACCGAGUCGCCACCAAGCGUGGCCGAACUCGGGCCGAUUGGCCCCGACUCAUUUGCCCACCGACGUGGCCCCGUUCCUUUCACAGAGGUUAUUCAUCAGGCUGAGCCCAGAACAAGUUGACUGUAGGACAUUGGAAAGCAUCCAUGAGUGUUUGGCAAACAGAAUUGCCUUGAUCCGCUCUUGAACUGGUUGGUGGUUUUCUUUAGAUGGAGGCUGAGCUACACACGAAACCACCAGAAUCAGGAAGCUGCUGUGAUCAGGAAGUCUCCAUUACAGCUUCUGGAUCUCUGGAGCCUCCUGAAAUCCACAUCCUCAAGAUGGAUGGUGUGGGCCCUCCUUCGACACCUCCAAGGCUAUGCAGCGGCCACACACUGGGACCUCUGUUCAUCCUGGUGAAGAACUGUCCAGUGACUCCUUGAUCAAGCUUGCCAGCAAAACAGCAGAAGCGGCAGAAACGAAACUGGAACCAACGAAGUGCACCAUGAGAACCUAAAUUAUAUUUAGAACUUUGCUUCAGGGAAAUCUGAGAAAAACAAUCUUGUGGUGUUCCACCUCUCCGAAAGAGGAAGGUACACUAAAAGGAGCUUGGAAUGGCUGCUGAGCACCAACCCACUCCAUAUUACACCUU